AACGCUAGCUACAGGCUUAACACAUGCAAGUCGAGGGGUAACAAGAGAAAAGCUUGCUUUUCUUGUUGACGACCGGCGCACGGGUGAGUAACGCGUAUCCAACCUGCCUAUAACUAGGGAAUAACCUUGCGAAAGUAAGACUAAUACCCUAUGAUUUCCUUUGAUGACAUCAGAUUAGGAAUAAAGAUUUAUCGGUUAUAGAUGGGGAUGCGUCUGAUUAGCUUGUUGGCGGGGUAACGGCCCACCAAGGCGACGAUCAGUAGGGGUUCUGAGAGGAAGGUCCCCCACAUUGGAACUGAGACACGGUCCAAACUCCUACGGGAGGCAGCAGUGAGGAAUAUUGGUCAAUGGGCGAGAGCCUGAACCAGCCAAGUAGCGUGCAGGAAGACGGCCCUAUGGGUUGUAAACUGCUUUUAUAAGGGAAUAAAGUGAGCCUCGUGAGGCUUUUUGCAUGUACCUUAUGAAUAAGGACCGGCUAAUUCCGUGCCAGCAGCCGCGGUAAUACGGAAGGUCCGGGCGUUAUCCGGAUUUAUUGGGUUUAAAGGGAGCGUAGGCCGGAGAUUAAGCGUGUUGUGAAAUGUAGAUGCUCAACAUCUGCACUGCAGCGCGAACUGGUUUCCUUGAGUACGCACAAAGUGGGCGGAAUUCGUGGUGUAGCGGUGAAAUGCUUAGAUAUCACGAAGAACUCCGAUUG
This 694-nucleotide ribosomal RNA is filed under the name uncultured bacterium. RNAcentral's name for it is "bacterial SSU rRNA". It matches the Rfam family "Bacterial small subunit ribosomal RNA", at positions 32 to 715 of the family's 1533-position model. The record is from RNAcentral.